Molecule: ribosomal RNA, 301 nt
Filed under: uncultured bacterium
Lineage: Bacteria
Description: partial 16S ribosomal RNA
Rfam family: Bacterial small subunit ribosomal RNA
Source: RNAcentral
CAGCAGCCGCGGUAAUACGGAGGGGGCUAGCGUUGUUCGGAAUUACUGGGCGUAAAGCGCACGUAGGCGGCUUGGUAAGUUAGAGGUGAAAGCCCGGAGCUCAACUCCGGAAUUGCCUUUAAGACUGCCGAGCUAGUAGGUGAGAGAGGUAAGUGGAAUUCCGAGUGUAGAGGUGAAAUUCGUAGAUAUUGGGAAGAACACCAGUGGCGAAGGCGGCUCACUGGACCGACACUGACGCUGAGGCGCGAAAGCGUGGGGAGCAAACAGGAUUAGAUACCCCAGUAGUCCCUGUCUCUUAUAU